CCACCCUUCGCUCUCUGGGGUGACCUCCCUAUGCCUCAAUCUACCCGUCUCUGAAGGGGGUCUAAGGAUCUCUGUGCGCCGAGCCGCCAUGCAGAGGGCCUGAGGCAGCAGGUGGAGAGAGGCGAGCAGAUGCUGAUGACUGAGCGACCGAGCAGCGUGUGUGUUGGGAUGACGGCUCUGUCCUCUCAGCCGCCAGCCUCGGCUGACAGCAGCACACUCAAACGCCAGACAUGCGCCCACCAGCCUUUGCCCCGUGGCGCCUCCUGGCUCUCCGGCCCCUCUGAUCUUCUGUCCCCCCUGCUCAGAGCUCGUGUGCCCCCAAAGAAAGUGGGGGCAGGGGUCAGCCGGCCUCCUGCCCUGCAUCUUCUGGCCCUCCAAGUGACCUCCCCAGGCAGCUCCCGGCCCGUCCCCCAGCCUGAGACAGGCAGUCUCGGGACACGUCUCUGUCCUCCACAUUCUCCUUUCCCGCGAGGCUGCACUGGUCCUGAGGUGUCUGCCUCCUGCCGAGCCUCCAGGGGCUCGUCCAUCUCAGCAGGAGCUGUCAGAGCGCCCAGGUUGUUCUGCUCUUUGCCUGCGGAAUCGUUGGGGGCUGGCCGGUGCCUGCUGGAUCCGCUGGCCUCCGGGGCUCCUCCCUGUCCCUCCUCCUUCCCCACCCCCUUCUUGCCUUUCACGACAAAUACUUGUGAACAGCCACCCUGUGCUGUCAGCAUGGAGGUACGGAGUAGAAUAGGUGGGGUCCACAGAGUGACCACAUACCUCUGCAGGCCGCACGCAGGGCAGACCCCGCAGGGGGCAUGGGGCGCCCCCCGCCCUUGCAGGUGCUGUGGGGGUGGGAGCAGUGAGCCCGCACCCCACCCCGAGUGGCUGAGAGCUGCCGCCCACCACGCAGACUCCCCUUUGUCCCACGAGCUGGCAGGUCCAUGCUGGGGGCCAUGCACAGCAGAAAUGCCUUAGAUGCCCAGGAGCCUGGAUGGGCCACGCCCGAGAACUGACCACUGAGGGCACGGAUCCAAGCUCACGACGUCGGCCCUGAUGGAGAGAAAGGCACGCGCUGGGGCAGCCAUCCCCAGACUCUCGG
Molecule: long non-coding RNA, 1078 nt
Filed under: Bos indicus x Bos taurus (hybrid cattle)
Lineage: Eukaryota; Metazoa; Chordata; Mammalia; Artiodactyla; Bovidae
Description: lncRNA (ENSBIXG00000008887.1)
Source: RNAcentral